Molecule: ribosomal RNA, 551 nt
Filed under: Pseudomonas lurida
Lineage: Bacteria; Pseudomonadati; Pseudomonadota; Gammaproteobacteria; Pseudomonadales; Pseudomonadaceae
Description: bacterial SSU rRNA
Rfam family: Bacterial small subunit ribosomal RNA
Source: RNAcentral
AUGCAGUCGAGCGGUAGAGAGAAGCUUGCUUCUCUUGAGAGCGGCGGACGGUCGAGUAAUGCCUAGGAAUCUGCCUGGUAGUGGGGGAUAACGUUCGGAAACGGACGCUAAUACCGCAUACGUCCUACGGGAGAAAGCAGGGGACCUUCGGGCCUUGCGCUAUCAGAUGAGCCUAGGUCGGAUUAGCUAGUUGGUGGGGUAAUGGCUCACCAAGGCGACGAUCCGUAACUGGUCUGAGAGGAUGAUCAGUCACACUGGAACUGAGACACGGUCCAGACUCCUACGGGAGGCAGCAGUGGGGAAUAUUGGACAAUGGGCGAAAGCCUGAUCCAGCCAUGCCGCGUGUGUGAAGAAGGUCUUCGGAUUGUAAAGCACUUUAAGUUGGGAGGAAGGGCAGUUGCCUAAUACGUAACUGUUUUGACGUUACCGACAGAAUAAGCACCGGCUAACUCUGUGCCAGCAGCCGCGGUAAUACAGAGGGUGCAAGCGUUAAUCGGAAUUACUGGGCGUAAAGCGCGCGUAGGUGGUUUGUUAAGUUGGAUGUGAAAUCC